GACGAACGCUGGCGGCGUGCUUAACACAUGCAAGUCGAACGAAGAGCGAUGGAAGCUUGCUUCUAUCAAUCUUAGUGGCGAACGGGUGAGUAACGCGUAAUCAACCUGCCCUUCAGAGGGGGACAACAGUUGGAAACGACUGCUAAUACCGCAUACGAUCUAACCUCGGCAUCGAGGAUAGAUGAAAGGUGGCCUCUACAUGUAAGCUAUCACUGAAGGAGGGGAUUGCGUCUGGUUAGCUAGUUGGAGGGGUAACGGCCCAACAAGGCGAUGAUCAGUAGCCGGGCUGAGAAGAUGGACGGCCACAAUGGGACCGAGACACGGCCCAGACUCCUACGGGAGGGAGCAGUGGGGAAUCUUCCGCAAUGGACGAAAGGCUGACGGAGCAACGCCGCGGUAGUGAAGGCGGCCUUCGGGUUGUAAAGCUCUGUUAAUCGGGACGAAAGGGCUUCUUGCGAAUAGGGAGAAGGAUUGACGGUACCGGAAGAGAAAGCCACGGCUAACUACGUG
This 510-nucleotide ribosomal RNA is filed under the name uncultured bacterium. RNAcentral describes it as "partial 16S ribosomal RNA". It matches the Rfam family "Bacterial small subunit ribosomal RNA", at positions 28 to 507 of the family's 1533-position model. The record is from RNAcentral.